UCCCUGGUGGUCUAGUGGCUAUGACUCUGCACUCCCAAUGCAGGGGUCCAGGUUCAGUCCCUGGUCAGGGAA
Non-coding RNA from Capra hircus (goat), 72 nucleotides. NCBI's taxonomy places the organism in Eukaryota, Metazoa, Chordata, Mammalia, Artiodactyla, Bovidae. The record is from the annotation of a RefSeq genome assembly.